GGAGUGCUUGCCUCGCUGACGAGUGGCGGACGGGUGAGUAAUACUUAGGGAUCUGCCUUCGGGAGGGGGAUAACCAUUGGAAACGAUGGCUAAUACCGCAUAACGUCUACGGACCAAAGGGGGCUUCGGCUCUCACCUGAAGAGGAACCUAAGCGAGAUUAGCUUGUUGGUGAGGUAAAGGCUCACCAAGGCGACGAUCUCUAGCUGUUCUGAGAGGAAGAUCAGCCACACUGGGACUGAGACACGGCCCAGACUCCUACGGGAGGCAGCAGUGGGGAAUAUUGCACAAUGGGGGAAACCCUGAUGCAGCCAUGCCGCGUGUGUGAAGAAGGCCUUCGGGUUGUAAAGCACUUUCAGUCGUGAGGAAAGGUUAGUAGUUAAUACCUGCUAGCUGUGACGUUAACGACAGAAGAAGCACCGGCUAACUCCGUGCCAGCAGCCGCGGUAAUACGGAGGGUGCGAGCGUUAAUCGGAAUUACUGGGCGUAAAGCGCACGCAGGCGGAUUGUUAAGCUAGAGGUGAAAGCCCCGCGCUCAACGUGGGAAUUGCCUUUAGAACUGGCAGUCUAGAGUCUUGGAGAGGGGAGUGGAAUUCCAGGUGUAGCGGUGAAAUGCGUAGAGAUCUGGAGGAACAUCAGUGGCGAAGGCGACUCCCUGGCCAAAGACUGACGCUCAUGUGCGAAAGUGUGGGUAGCGAACAGGAUUAGAUACCCUGGUAGUCCACACCGUAAACGCUGUCUACUAGCUGUUUGUGUAUUAUAUACGUGAGUAGCGAAGCUAACGCGCUAAGUAGACCGCCUGGGGAGUACGGCCGCAGGUUAAAACUCAAAUGAAUUGA
Molecule: ribosomal RNA, 837 nt
Filed under: uncultured bacterium
Lineage: Bacteria
Description: bacterial SSU rRNA
Rfam family: Bacterial small subunit ribosomal RNA
Source: RNAcentral